CACGUAGGGCGCAAGCGUCGUCCGGAAUUAUUGGGCGUAAAGAGCUCGUAGGCGGUCUGCUACGUCCGCUGUGAAAACCUAGGGCUUAACCCUGGGCUUGCAGUAGAUACGGGCAGACUAGAGGUAGGUAGGGGAGAAUGGAAUUCCCGGUGUAGCGGUGAAAUGCGCAGAUAUCGGGAGGAACACCGGUGGCGAAGGCGGUUCUCUGGGCCUUACCUGACGCUGAGGAGCGAAAGCGUGGGGAGCAAACAGG
RNAcentral lists this ribosomal RNA (253 nucleotides) under uncultured bacterium. RNAcentral's name for it is "partial 16S ribosomal RNA". It matches the Rfam family "Bacterial small subunit ribosomal RNA", at positions 524 to 776 of the family's 1533-position model. The record is from RNAcentral.